This 704-nucleotide ribosomal RNA is filed under the name uncultured Bacteroidota bacterium. Its description in RNAcentral is "bacterial SSU rRNA". It matches the Rfam family "Bacterial small subunit ribosomal RNA", at positions 8 to 707 of the family's 1533-position model. Lineage: Bacteria; Pseudomonadati; Bacteroidota. The record is from RNAcentral.
AGAGUUUGAUCAUGGCUCAGGAUGAACGCUAGCGGCAGGCCUAACACAUGCAAGUCGAGGGGUAACAUAGAGUGCUUGCACUCUGAUGACGACCGGCGCACGGGUGAGUAACGCGUAUACAAUCUGCCUCAUACUAGGGGAUAGCCCAGAGAAAUUUGGAUUAAUACCCUAUAGUAUCUUUUAGAGUCAUCUCUUUAAGAUUAAAGGUUACGGUAUGAGAUGAGUAUGCGUUCUAUUAGUUAGUAGGUGAGGUAACGGCUCACCUAGACCACGAUAGAUAGGGGCCCUGAGAGGGGGAUCCCCCACACUGGUACUGAGACACGGACCAGACUCCUACGGGAGGCAGCAGUGAGGAAUAUUAGACAAUGGGCGAAAGCCUGAUCUAGCCAUGCCGCGUGCAGGAUGACGGCCCUAUGGGUUGUAAACUGCUUUUAUACAGGAAGAAAAAACUCUACGUGUAGAGUCUUGACGGUACUGUAAGAAUAAGGAUCGGCUAACUCCGUGCCAGCAGCCGCGGUAAUACGGAGGAUCCAAGCGUUAUCCGGAAUUAUUGGGUUUAAAGGGUCCGUAGGUGGACAAUUAAGUCAGAGGUGAAAUCCUGCAGCUCAACUGUAAAAUUGCCUUUGAAACUGGUUGUCUUGAGUCAUUAUGAAGUGGUUAGAAUGUGUAGUGUAGCGGUGAAAUGCAUANAUAUUACNCAGAAN